This 571-nucleotide ribosomal RNA is filed under the name Schwanniomyces polymorphus. RNAcentral describes it as "eukaryotic LSU rRNA". It matches the Rfam family "Eukaryotic large subunit ribosomal RNA", at positions 38 to 626 of the family's 3401-position model. Lineage: Eukaryota; Fungi; Ascomycota; Pichiomycetes; Serinales; Debaryomycetaceae. The record is from RNAcentral.
GCAUAUCAAUAAGCGGAGGAAAAGAAACCAACAGGGAUUGCCUCAGUAACGGCGAGUGAAGCGGCAAAAGCUCAAAUUUGAAAUCUGGCACCUUCGGUGUCCGAGUUGUAAUUUGAAGAAGGUAACUUUGGAGUUGGCUCUUGUCUAUGUUCCUUGGAACAGGACGUCACAGAGGGUGAGAAUCCCGUGCGAUGAGAUGCCCAAUUCUAUGUAAAGUGCUUUCGAAGAGUCGAGUUGUUUGGGAAUGCAGCUCUAAGUGGGUGGUAAAUUCCAUCUAAAGCUAAAUAUUGGCGAGAGACCGAUAGCGAACAAGUACAGUGAUGGAAAGAUGAAAAGAACUUUGAAAAGAGAGUGAAAAAGUACGUGAAAUUGUUGAAAGGGAAGGGCUUGAGAUCAGACUUGGUAUUUUGCAAGCCUUACCUUCGUGGUGGGGUCCCCUGCAGUUUACUGGGCCAGCAUCGGUUUGGAUGGUAGGAUAAUGACUUGGGAAUGUGACUUUGCUUCGGUAAAGUGUUAUAGCCCUUGUUGAUACUGCCUGUCUAGACCGAGGACUGCGUCUUGACUAGGAUGC